AACAAAAAAAUUCAACUUUCACAAUCUUUAAAUCUAGAAAGAAAAAAAAAAAAAAAAAAAGUAAAAUUAUGAUUUAGACAUCACUUUUAAACUCACUAUCAUCACUAAUUGAUUUUUUGGGGUGCCACUAAUGUAAGUAAACAUGUCACUAACAGUCGCCCUCAUUAAAAAAAAAAAGCAGAAAAGUUUUUCUUAAAGCGAAGUUAUCCAGCACAUAGAUUUGCUUGACAGUGUGUUAAUUGUAGAAGGAGAAAAAUGAUAUAUUCGGGGAUAAAUUUGGUGAUAAUAGUGAUUAGAUUCGCUGUGAGUGCGAUGUUCAUUGUAUUCGUCUACACCAGGCUCAUUUGUGCUCAAAUUCAAUUGAGUGCGUUCAGACAUUCCUUUCCUAUGGCCGGCCUCUAGAUCUGAUAUGAGCACAAGGGAGGAACAGGUCGCCGGUGAUGAUGUGUGACUGGUUCGGCGGUAGGAUUGAACCGGGAUUUGGCAGAGAGGACAGGUUACCGGCGACUAUGGCAGAUUCUGGCGAGUUUGGCGGCGAGAUGAUAACCAAAACGGCAGUCUUCAAGGAGCCGCGGUGAAAACGCACCGAGGCCGGUGACCAGGGAUUGGCCCGGGGGUGAUGGCAACAGCGUCAAUGGAAGAGGAGCAGAGAGAUAAAGGACCGGUGACAGUAAGAACGAUAACAGAUUUUAUUAUUUAUUUUAUAUAUAUAUUUUUUGUUACAGCAUAUUAUCAGAAGCAACAGAACCCGAAUCUCAACAACAGAGAGCAAAUCUAUAGCCUGUGGGGAGAACAGAGAUAGGAGAAAAUACAGUGCCCAUAAAUCAUUUUUUUUUUUGUUAUAGGAUUCAAAAAUCAAGAGGGUGCUAACACUGAGACGAAGCUCCAAAAAAAAAAACACAAUUGUUUUGUUCUAAAGGAUAAUAUUUAAUUUCAAAAAUGUGAUUUUUUGGUUUAUUAAAUAAAAGGGAAUAUAAUAAGGAUAAUUUAGUCAUUUCAUAUACCCUUAACGGCUAAUUGGCAGAGUUGAGGUAAAAUGAUAACGUUAUUAUAUUGUUGGGGGUUUUAAAAACUGGUUGGGAUUUUAUGAUCACUUUUUGAAAGUAUUGGAGGUUUACAGAAAUUUGCCCAAGUAAAAAUACACAUAGUAUGGAAUUUAAAUAUCAUGAAUGCAUGCAAAACCGGAAUCAAAUCCGAACAUGAAAAAUGAGGUUAUUCCAACAAAGUGACAAUCGAGAAAAAGACGAAAAGUGAAUAGUGUCACAAAAGUGAAAAUAUGAAAAUGACUCGGUCCUCAAAGGAAGUCGUCAAACCAAAGGAAAGAGUAUCGGAAACCAUUCCCGAGCACUCAAGAUGACACUAAGUGACGAGAAGCCGAACCCAAAAAAGAAAGAUUAACGAAAAGAAAAUAUAUAUAUAUAUAUAUAUCCGUAAAAAUCAAAGGAAAGAAAAGGAAGGAAAAUGACCGGGUCAUUACAAUGCUUCCAUCUUUGAUCCUCUAGGUUAGUAAAAAAAAAAAAAAAAAUCGAGUGAAAAGAAUAAGCGUACCUAGAUCAAUAAAGUUUUAAUAAAAGGUCCACUCUUUGUCUUAAUGAUCGGUACUAAAUUUAUAUGAUAGGUUGAGGGUAAGGAUGUGAUCAUUUAUUUAGUUGGCUUAGAUAGCAAUAUAUUUGAUGCCGGUCCACUCAAAAAGGAUUCUAGUAUUGUUUUGAUUUGCUUAAUCAUUUUCUUGCUGUGUAGAUGACCAUACUUGCUUGCUUGGAAAUGGUUGAAAAAUUGCAUACUUGAGGUAGUUUUCUCCCGAUGCUUGUUUGCAAUAUUGGUGCCUCUUUUGUGAGAAUGAGCUUAAUGUUUGUGGGUAUCAUUUCUGGAAACCCUCACGAGACUUCACUCGUCCACUAGGGGUAACCUAAGGGUUUAAAAGGCUUGUUGCAUGUGCUAAAUGCAAUCGUGUUCCCUACAAAAGUGGCGUUAUCCUUUUAUUGCUUUUUAUUUCAUAGUUAUAUAGUUGUUCAUUUCAUUCCUUUACUUUGUAGUUCAUUGCUAGGGACUAGCAAUAUUUAACUUUGGGGGUGUGAUAAGCGCUGAAAAGUGCCCAUUUAAACCCCUUAAGCGAGGGUAUUUUAGUCCAUUUAUCUAUUUUUAUUUACCCGUUUUAGUACUUAUUUGUGUUUUUGUCUAUUUCAGGUCAAUAAUGUUAAAACGAGCUAAAAAUGGUUUCUUAAGGCCUUUUUGGAGUCAAACUAAGUCUUAGUGAGAAUUUGGAGCAAAAGGAGGCUGAUGCUGAAAAUCUGCCAAGUGAGAUAGAUUUGAGAAAAGUCUGAUAGAUUUGAGAAAAGUGAGAUCGAUCUGAGAAAAGUGAGAUCGAUCGAAGAAAAGUGAGAUCGAUCGAACUGUUCGCGAAAGUUAUUAAAAAGUAGAUUUGAAUCUCAUUUUAAACCAACUCGGGCAGAGCUUGUAAGGGAAGAUUCUAGGGCCGAGUUCUCACAUAUUUGGGCUCUCAAAGCCUUGUAUAUAGGAGGGAUUCAACCAUUUUUGUUGAGAGAUUCAUAUUUUAGAUUGUAAUUUCUAUAGUUUCAUUAGUUUUUCUCUCUAGAAAGUUAGAGAUUAGGGUUAGAAGAGAAGAGGGAAAUGGAGAUUCAUCUCAAAAACACAUUUCUAGAUCCACAUACUCUCUCUCUUUAGAGCUUUAAAGAAGAAGAAGAAGAAGAAGAUGGAGCCAUGUUUGGGGAUUGCCCUUGAGGGUUUCAUGACCACAUCCACCUCCUCCAUGAUUGGCUAGAUCUACACUUAGGGCUUGGAUGAGCCCUAAGUCUUGUGUAAUCUAAACUCUUGUAUUUUUAUUUUUGGGGAUUUAUAUAUAUAUUGUUGUGAUUAGUGCUUAGCCUUGUGAUGGCUAAGCAUGGGUUUUCAUUGAAUGGGUUUGUCAAUUAAUUUGAUGGAUUAUUCUUAUA
Long non-coding RNA from Cornus florida, 2954 nucleotides. RefSeq lists it as uncharacterized. The transcript has 2 exons. NCBI's taxonomy places the organism in Eukaryota, Viridiplantae, Streptophyta, Magnoliopsida, Cornales, Cornaceae. The record is from RefSeq and is a predicted model, not a curated record.